ACGCUCGACACCUACGGGAGCAGCAGUGAGGAAUAUUGGUCAAUGGACGCAAGUCUGAACCAGCCAUGCCGCGUGCAGGAUGACGGCUCUAUGAGUUGUAAACUGCUUUUGUACGAGGGUAAACGCAGAUACGUGUAUCUGUCUGAAAGUAUCGUACGAAUAAGGAUCGGCUAACUCCGUGCCAGCAGCCGCGGUAAUCUGAGGCGGGCUGGCAAGGC
Molecule: ribosomal RNA, 218 nt
Filed under: uncultured bacterium
Lineage: Bacteria
Description: partial 16S ribosomal RNA
Rfam family: Bacterial small subunit ribosomal RNA
Source: RNAcentral